This 468-nucleotide ribosomal RNA is filed under the name uncultured bacterium. Its description in RNAcentral is "partial 16S ribosomal RNA". It matches the Rfam family "Bacterial small subunit ribosomal RNA", at positions 28 to 507 of the family's 1533-position model. The record is from RNAcentral.
GACGAACGCUGGCGGCGUGCUUAACACAUGCAAGUCGAACGGAAAGGCCCUGCUUUUGUGGGGUGCUCGAGUGGCGAACGGGUGAGUAACACGUGAGUAACCUGCCCUUGACUUUGGGAUAACUUCAGGAAACUGGGGCUAAUACCGGAUAGGAGCUCCUGCUGCAUGGUGGUGGUUGGAAAGUUUCGGCGGUUGGGGAUGGUCUCGCGGCUUAUCCGCAUGUUGGUGGGGUAGUGGCUUACCAAGGCUUUGACGGGUAGUCGGCCUGAGAGGGUGACCGGCCACAGAGGGACUGAGAUGCGGCCCGGAGUCAUACGUGAGGAAGCGAUGGGAAUUAUUGCACACAGCGCGGAAGGCUUAUGCAGCAACGCCGCGUGAGGAAUGACGGGCUUCUGGUUGUAAACGGCUUUCUCCUGUAAGGGAGCGAGAGUGACGGUAAUGAGUAAAGAAGCACCGGCUAACUACGUG